Molecule: small nucleolar RNA, 132 nt
Organism: Suncus etruscus (white-toothed pygmy shrew)
Lineage: Eukaryota; Metazoa; Chordata; Mammalia; Eulipotyphla; Soricidae
Product: small nucleolar RNA SNORA51
Exons: 1
Source: RefSeq, a predicted model, not a curated record
GGCCUCCCAAUUCUUAUCACAGGCUGUGUAAAACACUGACUGUACAGACAGAGGAGAUACAGUAAAUGCACCCUCAUAUACACCUCAACCCAGGCCCUUUGCCUGGUUUGUAUUUUGAAUUGGGGGACAAAA